CGCGCCACUGCACUCCAGCCUAGGCCACAGAGCGAGACUCCGUCUCAAAAAAAUAAAAGGAUCAUUCAGGUAAAGCAGAUAAGAAUCACCAAUACCUUGAGGUGGAAGCACGCCUGACAUGGUUGAGAAACAACAGAGAAGCCGGCGUCCUGAGUGCGUUUCCAUAGUAAUGAUCAAAUCAAAGAAAUAUAGAAAACACCUAACAUUGCUGGAAACUGAAGAGGUGUUCAACUCAUUUAUCCGACCUUGAAGCCAGUAGAGUGCAGGAGACAUCUGAGUGUUGUCAAGGAUCAACAAAUCUGGAUACUAGUUAAUGUGACGAAAUUUCGCUCUUGUUGCCCAGGCUGGUGUGCA
Molecule: long non-coding RNA, 354 nt
Filed under: Homo sapiens (human)
Lineage: Eukaryota; Metazoa; Chordata; Mammalia; Primates; Hominidae
Description: HSALNT0366695
Source: RNAcentral